UGUCCGCGAAGUCCAGAAGAAGAGUAGAGAGUGAUUAGUAGCAAUGGCAAUAAGCAGGUGAUGGGAUGGUAUGAGGCUGGUGCCAACGGCGAGGGAGACAGAAGAGCAAGGCGACGUGGGUUCCCCAUAGCAUCCCGAAAACCAAGGCCGUCAUACCGCUGCUGGAAGACGGGCCAGUUCUUUACACAAAUGUCAGUCUACUCUUACGGGAACAGGGAGAGGAAAUAAUAAUCUUUGGAGUGUGUGUGUGGUGGGGGGAGCAUCGUGGGCCCCACGGUGGCCUGCAGUCUGCGGGCAGCGCUUUGGCUGGUCGGGCGGCCCCAGGGAGCCGCCGUAGUCGCCCGCCUCCUGCGACCUCACGUCUCCGUUGCCGGCAUCGCGCAGCCUCCGCAGCCUCCGAGGGCGACGUGGAAGACGCCCAGGAGCUCCGCGUCCCGUCGGAGGGAGCGCAGGGACCGCGUCGGGAGGCGGCAAAAUGUUCCCUCCGAGACGUGGAACGCGGUGGCCACGUGGAGCUGGGACGUGGAGGGCGACACGUGCGCCGCCGUCUGCAGGGUCCAGGUGAGGGAUGCCUGUCUUAGAUGUUAAGCCGAAAACAGGAGGAUUGUGUUUUGGGGGGGUGGGGGGUGGGGGUGAAAUGUAACCAUUCCUUCCACAACUGCUGCAUGUCUCUGUGGGUGCACCAGAAGAGUUGCCCUGUCUGCCAGCAGGACCGCGUGGUCCAAAGAAUCAGCCAAGGGCAGCGGUGGAGGUAUUCUUGGUGCAGUUGUGUGGAGCCCUGUGGGGUCUUGUUAUCGAGUGUCCUGUGAAGGCUAGAACUCUCCAGGGGGGCUAAGUCUUCUAAUAGGACGUGAUGGAUCUGUGGUCCUUGAGACUCAUCAAAGCCAUGGUUUAGCCUUUUUUCAGGUCCCCCCCCCCCCGGAAAUUCUCUACAAUUAAGAAGAUAAUUUGGAGUUCCCUUCAUGGCUCAGUGGUUAACAAACCCGACUAGGAUCCAUGAGGAUGGGGGUUCGAUCCCUGGCCCCUCUCAGUGGGUUAAGGAUCUGGCAUUGCCCUGAGCUGUGGUAUAGGUCGGAUCCCGAGUUGCUGUGGCUGUGGUGUAGGCCGGCAGCUGUAGCUCUGAUUCGACCUGGGAACUUCUAUAUGCUGCAGGUGCAGCCCUAAAAAAAAAAAAAAAAAGGUAAUUUAUUAAGGAUGGUCUUUGAUACCUGUGUGGUACUUGUAUCUAACCCUGCAUAGAAGCACUGUUAAAAAAGAGAACUAUACAUUGAACAGCUUUUGUAACUUACUGACUGAUAUCCAAGGGGCCAUGGAAGCAGUUCCAUUUAGAAGCAGGCUUUUUGCAUGCUUAUGGUUGAUCAGCUUUUUUAAAAAAGAUAAUGUUAUAGUAACAAGUCAAGUGCAGUUUAUUUUUUUUUAUUUUUUUCUUCCUCCUAGAUUCUUUAUUUUUUUUCAUUUUUUAUUACUCAAAUGAAUUUAUCACAUUUGUAGUUGUAUAAUGAUCAUAACAAUCUGAUUUCACAGGAUUUCCAUCCCACAGCCCAGGCACAUGCCCCCACCCCCCAAACCGUCUCCUCUGGAGACCAUAAGUUUUUCAAUGUCUGUGAGUCAGCAUCUGGUCUGCAAAGAAGUUCCGUCUGUCCUUUUUUCAGAUUCCACAUGUCAGUGAAAGCAUUUGAGGUUGGUGUCUCAUUGUAUAGCUGACUUCACUUAGCAUGAUAGUUUCUAGCUCCAUCCAUGUUGCUAAAAAUGCUGGUAUUUCAUUCUUUUUGAUGGCUUAGUAAUAUUCCAUUGUGUAUCUGUACCACAUCUCUGGAUCCACUCCUCUGUCGAUGGACAUUUAGGUUGUUUCCAUGUCUUGGCUAUUGUAAAUAGUGCUGCAAUGAACAUUGGAGUACAUGUGUCUUUGCGAGUCGUGGUUUUCUCUGGAUAGAUGCCCAGGAGUGGGAUUGCUGGAUCAAAUGGUAGUUCUAUGUUUAGUUUUCUGAGGAAUCUCCAUACUGCUUUCCACAGUGGUUGCACCACUUUACAAUCCCACCAAUAGUGUACUAGAAUCCCUUUUUCUCCACGCCCUCUCCAGCACUUAUUGUUUGUAGACUUUUGGAUGAUGGCCAUUCUGGCUGGUGUAAGGUGGUACCUCAUUGUGGUUUUGAUUUGCAUUUCUCUAAUAAUUCAAGUGCAGUUUAAAAUCCAACUCUUAUCUUUAAUCUGCUCCUAAUAUUUAUUUUUGGCAGAGAGGAGGAUGAUUCACGAAAUCUUUAUUUGAUAUAAUGAGAAUUUUAGGCUUGGACCAGUGAAUAUGGUAAAAUAAAACAACCUUCAGUGUGUAGGAGGAUUUCAGUUGUCUUUUGGGUUAUCAUCCUUUGUCUUUGGCUCAUCAAGAAAACCUAGAUCUCCACUCACCUCACUCUUCGGUCAUUGAGUGGUAAACGACAGAAGUAUUUUCAAGUUCUGGUUGUAUUGUUUUGUAAUUGAACUGUUUUGGGUGGAAUGUUAAUGAGGGGAAAAUGUUACCAUGGUAGCAUUGGCUCAAAAAGUUUAUCAGACAAUGUUUUAAUAAAUGGUUUAAUCUGUUUCCCAAAAAAAAGGCUUCAGUAUAAAAACUUCAAAUUUAGGUAGUGGCUCUUGUGCAUUCUCGCAUUCUAGAUGUAUGACCACAGGCAAAUUAUUUAAACAUUGUGAACCGUAGUUUCCCCAUAUGGUCAAUGAGUUUAAUUCUACCUGUUUCUGAAGUUGUUGGAGGGUGUGGUAGACACUGCUGAUUGUCCCAAAAUAUCUUUUUUCCUCUUCCUCCAGAGUGAAAUAAACUUUGGUCAAGCCAAAGCCCAUCAGAUUUUGGGCUUUUUGCACUUAGAUGUGUCAUGUGACAAAAUUCUAACAAACGGGACCUAAGAGCAGAGCUGAGUGGGUGUCCAUGAACCUUCCUUGAGAGAGAUGCGGCACCUGCUCUCUUUCCGUCUCUCUUUUUGCUUCUCUGCUCCCACAUUACCACAUGGAAGGAAAUGUUUCCCUGGACCAUGCGGGCGAGGGCUAUCCCUUAGGGAUGAUGGAAUUGUGAGCAGGAGGCACUUAAAAUCCCUAAAGAAUCCAAGGAGACACCCAGGCCUGAAUAUUGUUUUUCUGUUUUAUUUCUGUUUAUUGAUUUUUUUAUAAGAGAGAGACAUCAACAGAGAAAGACUUUCUCUCUUACUGGUAACCUGGCCUUGUUACCUGUUAGCUCAAGAUUAGAAGUAAUAUGUGUGAAAUGCCCAGACAUUGUAAGCCGUCACAGAUGUUUUUGUUUUCUGUGCAUCUCUCCCACAAAAGACAAACAAACAAACAAACAAACCUUUGUAAUUCUGCCCUCCAGUUAUAGAGAAUUGAAUUGUAUUCUUAAAUUUUUGUUUUUCUCAGGCUCUGGCAAACUGGAAACUAUCCAGGAGAAAAUUCUCAAGGUAGUGAGCAGGCCUGAAAACCACACACACAGGGAGCAGUUAAUUACAGGAGUUGUGUUGCGUUUGCUAUUUUUAAAGUAAGUGUGACUCGAGCUUGGGAGUCUCAGGUGUAUGGGAUCCCGUGAGUUCAUGUGUUCCCAUGGGACUGGGCCUGGCUUAUCCACAGCGCUGCUGGAUGCCAUGCUAUUACCAUGGAACUAGGGGUUCCAGGGGAAGUUGUGGCAACUGGGCAUUGUCUGCACAGCUGCCGACUGGGCGAGGGGUGAGAGGGGUCCUGCCUGCUGACCUCUACCCUGAUGGGACCAGCCGGAGAUCAGCAGUUUUCACCGUGUUGCCCAGUGGGCCAUGGGCCUGGGAAGGUGUCUUGGGAGCUGCCUCAAAGGUGAGGCAGGACUAGUGAACUGCUUCCUCCAUGAGGUUCUGGACAACACAACUUUCGGGAAAGGAUUGGGGGCUUAAGAGUUUCCCACAUCUAAAUGUAGAAAGUCACUUGGAGGCCAGGAAACCGGAGGUGGAGACUAAGAGAGAAGCAACACUGAUUGCCAUUCCCGUUUGCUUGCUUGGCCUCAGAGGUGCCAAGUCUAUUUGUAUUUACUUGCAGCUCACAGCCGGCCCCCUUCAGAAAGGAGUCGGAGCCACGCACAAAGUGCGACGGAAGCGUCUGUCUAUGGAAGCACAUGGUGACGCUGCUAACUGUGUGUCUGUGUCCACAUACGAGGAGACUGUGUGCUGGGGAAUGGGUCAGACCGCUGGCUCUGUGUUGGGUCGGCAGUAAUACUUCACCCCAGGGCUUGGAACAGUUGCAAGGAGGCUCAAAAGAAUAACGUUCACGUGGAUGGCUUCUCGGUUUGUUCUUACCCAAGGGACAGAUGCCCCUAGGGGACACCUGUGAUGGCCUCACACUUUGACCGCCCCUCAUAGUUUGCCUGAAUGGGUGUCAUAUUGACCUGCUUGUGUCCCUGGGGAGUUGCUUUUCCUUCCGUUCCUCCCUUAUAUAGUGUGGUCCAGCCAUUCAGGGUGACUUGCAAUGAUCAGAAAGUGACCUGGUCAUCUGCCUCGGCUUCAUUUCUGCUCCCGAAGCCUCUCUCCUCCUCUGCUUAGCACAUGUCUGCCAUCGCACUUGUCACAGCAGAGCCUUUUGUCUGUUUGUCUCCCCCCACUAGGCUCAGACAGCUUUUGGCUAGUUUUUUUUUUUUUUUUUUUUAAACCACUUUACCCCACUAAAAACUUGGCACCUAGAAGGUGAUUAAAAAUGUUUCUUGGAGUUCCCGCUGUGGCACAAGAUCAGUGGUGUCUGUGCAGCACUGUUCGAUCCCUGGCUGGCACAGUGGCUUAAGGAUCCUGUAUUGCCACAGCUGUAGCGUAGGGCACAGCUGCGGCUUGGAUCUGAUCCCUGGCCUGGCAACUCCAUAUGCUACAGAAUGAGCAAAAAGGAAAAAGAAAGUUUCUUGACCAGUUGAGAUAAUUCUCCAGCCUCCCAGCCAUUGUCAUGAAGCUUGAGUAUCCUUUACCCUCAGAGACCUUUGCUCACUGCAAGGGCAGCCACCUAAAUCCAGCAAAAGUCUAGGACGCUAUUGCAAUGCUCCAGGUGGUCUCUAGCUGGUUGGUGUACAGCUGCCUUGUCAGACAGGCAGCCAAGUGGAGAGGAGACUCCUUGGAAGUUGGGCCACUUCUAAGGGACUGCCAACUUGCUGUGUGACUUGGAGCAAGUCUCCUAAACUUUUUUGCCUUACUUUCCAGACUCUUUCAUACCCAACCACAUAGUAAAUCUCAUAGUAAAUCAGGGAGGGCUCAUUAUAAAAAAUAAUAAUAAUAAAAUUGCAUCAAAAAAAUAAAAGUACUCUGAAAACAC
Molecule: long non-coding RNA, 5286 nt
Filed under: Sus scrofa (pig)
Lineage: Eukaryota; Metazoa; Chordata; Mammalia; Artiodactyla; Suidae
Description: lncRNA (ENSSSCG00060024253.1)
Source: RNAcentral